AUUGAACGCUGGCGGCAUGCCUUACACAUGCAAGUCGAGCGGUAACAGGUCUUCGGAUGCUGACGAGUGGCGAACGGGUGAGUAAUACAUCGGAACGUGCCCGAUCGUGGGGGAUAACGAGGCGAAAGCUUUGCUAAUACCGCAUACGAUCUACGGAUGAAAGCGGGGGAUCUUCGGACCUCGCGCGGACGGAGCGGCCGAUGGCAGAUUAGGUAGUUGGUGGGAUAAAAGCUUACCAAGCCGACGAUCUGUAGCUGGUCUGAGAGGAUGAUCAGCCACACUGGGACUGAGACACGGCCCAGACUCCUACGGGAGGCAGCAGUGGGGAAUUUUGGACAAUGGGCGAAAGCCUGAUCCAGCCACGCCGCGUGCAGGAUGAAGGCCUUUGGGUUGUAAACUGCUUUUGUACGGAACGAAAAGCCUCUUUCUAAUAAAGAGGGGUCAUGACGGUACCGUAAGAAUAAGCACCGGCUAACUACGUG
This 482-nucleotide ribosomal RNA is filed under the name uncultured bacterium. Its description in RNAcentral is "partial 16S ribosomal RNA". It matches the Rfam family "Bacterial small subunit ribosomal RNA", at positions 30 to 507 of the family's 1533-position model. The record is from RNAcentral.